Molecule: ribosomal RNA, 699 nt
Filed under: uncultured bacterium
Lineage: Bacteria
Description: bacterial SSU rRNA
Rfam family: Bacterial small subunit ribosomal RNA
Source: RNAcentral
GGGUGAGUAACGCGUGGAUAACCUGCCGUAUACUGGGGGCUAACACUUAGAAAUAGGUGCUAAUACCGCAUAAGCGCACAGUCUCGCAUGAGACGGUGUGAAAAACUCCGGUGGUAUACGAUGGAUCCGCGUCUGAUUAGCUUGUUGGCGGGGUAACAGCCCACCAAGGCGACGAUCAGUAGCCGGCCUGAGAGGGUGAACGGCCACAUUGGGACUGAGACACGGCCCAAACUCCUACGGGAGGCAGCAGUGGGGAAUAUUGCACAAUGGGGGAAACCCUGAUGCAGCGACGCCGCGUGAGUGAAGAAGUGCCCCGGCACGUAAAGCUCUAUCAGCAGGGAAGAAAAAAGUCCUUCGGACUUUGGACGGUACCUGACCAAGAAGCCCCGGCUAACUACGUGCCAGCAGCCGCGGUAAUACGUAGGGGGCAAGCGUUAUCCGGAUUUACUGGGUGUAAAGGGAGCGUAGACGGCAGCGCAAGUCUGGAGUGAAAUCCCGGGGCUCAACCCCGGAACUGCUUUGGAAACUGCGCGGCUCGAGUGCAGGAGGGGCAGGCGGAAUUCCUAGUGUAGCGGUGAAAUGCGUAGAUAUUAGGAGGAACACCAGUGGCGAAGGCGGCCUGCUGGACUGUAACUGACGUUGAGGCUCGAAAGCGUGGGGAGCAAACAGGAUUAGAUACCCUGGUAGUCCACGCCGUAA